CGCAUCUGUGCAUGCAGCAUAUCAAUAAGCGGAGGAAAAGAAACUAACAAGGAUUCCCCUAGUAACGGCGAGUGAAGCGGGAAGAGCUCAAAUUUGAAAUCUUAAAGGGUUUCCCUUUACGAAUUGUAGUUUAAAGAAGUGUUUUCUGUUGAGGUUUUGGUAAAAGUUCUUUGGAAUAGGACAUCAUAGAGGGUGAGAAUCCCGUAUUUGACCUUUACUUUCAACUUUGUGAUACACUUUCAAAGAGUCGGAUUGUUUGGGAAUGCAGUCCAAAAUGGGUGGUAAAUUUCAUCUAAAGCUAGAUAUUGGCGAGAGACCGAUAGCGAACAAGUACCGUGAGGGAAAGAUGAAAAGAACUUUGAAAAGAGAGUUAAACAGUACGUGAAAUUGUCAAAAGGGAAGCGUUUGACACCAGUGUUGUUUUUCUGAAAAUCAAUUAAAGAACUGUUUAUGCUAAGCUGUUUAGACUUUAUCAGCUAACUGUUUAGUUUUGAGCUUUUCUUUAAUGCACUUUUCAGUUAACAAGUCAACAUCAAUUUCUUUUGCUGUAAAAAAGCUUGAGGAAGGUGGCUUGAGAUUCGUCUUAAGUGUUUAUAGCCUCUUGCCUAUGCAGUCGGAGAGAUUGAGGUCUGCAGCGUAGAUCCUUCGGGGCUAAAUGCAGUUUGUGCUAAGUUAUAGCAUUUUAUAGACAACUUGUUGACUAUGAUUUGUCUUGUAGCUUACUCGCUUAUGUUAUUUUACCUACGCUUAGGAUGUUGAACGCGCACAGAGUCUC
Molecule: ribosomal RNA, 775 nt
Filed under: uncultured Neocallimastigales
Lineage: Eukaryota; Fungi; Neocallimastigomycota; Neocallimastigomycetes; Neocallimastigales
Description: partial large subunit ribosomal RNA
Rfam family: Eukaryotic large subunit ribosomal RNA
Source: RNAcentral